RNAcentral lists this ribosomal RNA (212 nucleotides) under Klebsiella pneumoniae. RNAcentral describes it as "partial 16S ribosomal RNA". It matches the Rfam family "Bacterial small subunit ribosomal RNA", at positions 1332 to 1533 of the family's 1533-position model. The record is from RNAcentral. Lineage: Bacteria; Pseudomonadati; Pseudomonadota; Gammaproteobacteria; Enterobacterales; Enterobacteriaceae.
UCGCUAGUAAUCGUAGAUCAGAAUGCUACGGUGAAUACGUUCCCGGGCCUUGUACACACCGCCCGUCACACCAUGGGAGUGGGUUGCAAAAGAAGUAGGUAGCUUAACCUUCGGGAGGGCGCUUACCACUUUGUGAUUCAUGACUGGGGUGAAGUCGUAACAAGGUAACCGUAGGGGAACCUGCGGUUGGAUCACCUCCUUACCUUAAAGAA